GGUUCGAUUUCGGAGAGGGAGCAUGAGAAACGGCUACCACAUCUAAGGAAGGCAGCAGGCGCGUAAAUUACCCAAUCCUGACUCAGGGAGGUAGUGACAAGAAAUAGCAAACCGGGAACCUCAUGGUUUCACGGUAUUGCAAUGAGAACAAUUUAAAACCCUUAGCGAGAAUCAAGUGGAGGACAAGUCUGGUGCCAGCACCCGCGGUAAUUCCAGCUCCACUAGCGUAUAUUAAAGUUGUUGCAGUUAAAAAGCUCGUAGUUGAACCUCUGUCUGGGGCUAGUUUUGGCUUUGGUCAGGCUAGUUCUAGGCAUCCGCCUACAAGACUUAGAGGGCAUUCAGUUGUUCACUAGGAGGAGUAGGCAUUUUACUUUGAAAAAAUUAGAGUGUUUAAGGCAGGCAAUCGCCCGCAUAUAUUAGCAUGGAAUAAUAGAAUAGGACACUUUUCCAUUUCGUUGGUUAUUGGAAUCGUGUAAUGAUUAAUAGGGACAGUUGUGGGCAUUUGUAUUUAAUUGUCAGAGGUGAAAUUCUUGGAUUUAUUAAAGACAAACUAACGCGAAAGCAUUUGCCAAGGAUGUUUUCAUUAAUCAAGAACGAAAGUUAGGGGAUCAAAGACGAUCAGAUACCGUCCUAGUCUUAACUAUAAACUAUUCCGACUCAAUGUUUGACUGGCUUAUAUAACCAGUUGAGCGUUGUAUGAGAAAUCAAAGUCUUUAGGUUCUGGGGGGAGUAUGGUUGCAAAGCUGAAACUUAAAGGAAUUGACGGAAGAGCACAACCAGGAGUGGAUUCUGCGGCUUAAUUUGACUCAACACGGGGAAACUUACCAGGUUAAAACAAUAGUGGGAUUGACAGUUUGAGAGCGCUUUCUUGAUUGGUUGGGUGGUGGUGCAUGGCCGUUCUUAGUUGGUGGAGUGAUUUGUCUGCUUAAUUGCGUUAACGAACGAGACCUUAACCUGCUUACUAGACUGGCGAUCAUCAAUCGUUAGCUCUUCUUAGAGGGACUUUGGUUGUUUUAACUCCAAGGAAGUUUGAGGCAAUAACAGGUCUGUGAUGCCCUUAGAUAUCCUGGGCCGCACGCGUCAUACAAUGACUAGUUCAGAAAGUUUUCUCCUGACCCGAAAGGGGAUGGGUAAUCUUGAUAAUACUAGUCGUGUUAGGGAUCGAUCUUUGCAAUUAUAGAUCUUGAACGAGGAAUUCCUAGUAAGUGCGGUUCAUCAGACCGUACUGAUUACGUCCCUGCUCUUUGUACACACCGCCCGUCGCUUCUACCGAGUGGGUGGUCCGGCGAGAUAAUUGAACUUCGCAGGUAACUGAGAGGAAAGAUUAUCAAACCUAUCCACCUCGAGGAAGAAGAAGUCGUAACAAGGUU
This 1370-nucleotide ribosomal RNA is filed under the name metagenome. RNAcentral's name for it is "SSU rRNA". It matches the Rfam family "Eukaryotic small subunit ribosomal RNA", at positions 374 to 1801 of the family's 1831-position model. The record is from RNAcentral.